This 406-nucleotide ribosomal RNA is filed under the name uncultured bacterium. Its description in RNAcentral is "partial 16S ribosomal RNA". It matches the Rfam family "Bacterial small subunit ribosomal RNA", at positions 30 to 526 of the family's 1533-position model. The record is from RNAcentral.
AUUGAACGCUGGCGGCAGGCCUAACACAUGCAAGUCGAACGAGUGGCGGACUGGUGAGUAAUGUCUGGGAAACUGCCUGAUGGAGGGGGAUAACUACUGGAAACGUUAGCUAAUACCGCAUACCCUCAGAUGUGCCCAGAGGGGAUUAGCUUGUUGGUGGGGUAACGGCUCACAAAGGCGACGAUCCCUAGCUGGUCUGAGAGGAGGACCAGCCACACUGGAACUGAGACACGGUCCAGACUCCUACGGGAGGCAGCAGUGGUGAAUAUUGGACAAUGGGCGAAAGCCUGAUGCAGCCAUGCCGCGUGUAUGAAGAAGGCCUUCGGGUUGUAAAGUACUGUCAGCGGGGAGGCGUUACCCGCAGAGGAAGCACCGGCUAACUCCGUGCCAGCAGCCGCGGUAAUAC